UGGGGAAUAUUGCACAAUGGGGGAAACCCUGAUGCAGCGACGCCGCGUGAACGAAGAAGGUAUUCGUAUCGUAAAGUUCUGUCCUAUGGGAAGAUAAUGACAGUACCAUAGAAGAAAGCUCCGGCUAAAUACGUGCCAGCAGCCGCGGUAAUACGUAUGGAGCGAGCGUUGUUCGGAAUUAUUGGGCGUAAAGGGUACGCAGGCGGUUUAAUAAGUCGAAUGUUAAAGAUCGGGGCUCAACCCCGCAAAGCAUUGGAAACUGAUAAACUUGAGUAGUGGAGAGGAAAGUGGAAUUCCUAGUGUAGUGGUGAAAUACGUAGAUAUUAGGAGGAAUACCAGUAGCGAAGGCGACUUUCUGGACACAAACUGACGCUGAGGUACGAAAGCGUGGGGAGCAAACAGG
This 403-nucleotide ribosomal RNA is filed under the name bacterium. Its description in RNAcentral is "partial 16S ribosomal RNA". It matches the Rfam family "Bacterial small subunit ribosomal RNA", at positions 355 to 776 of the family's 1533-position model. The record is from RNAcentral.